AAAGGCUUGGUCCUGACUUUACUAUCAACUAUAGCAGUAUUUACACAUGCAAGUAUCCGCACCCCUGUGAGAAUGCCCCUAGUCUCCUCUAAAGGAAAUAAGGAGCCGGUAUCAGGCACACCUAUCGUAGCCCAUGACACCUUGCUUAGCCACACCCCCAAGGGAAUUCAGCAGUGAUAAAUAUUAAGCCAUAAGCGAAAGCUUGACUUAGUUAAAGCUAAUUUAGAGCCGGUCAAAACUCGUGCCAGCCACCGCGGUUAGACGAAAGGCUCAAGCUGAUAGUUUUCGGCGUAAAGAGUGGUUAGGAAUUUAGAAAACUAAAGCUGAAAUUUCUCAUGGCUGUUAUACGCAUCCGAGAACAUGAAACACACAUACGAAAGUAGCUUUAAAUAAUCUGACCCCACGAAAGCUGUGGAACAAACUGGGAUUAGAUACCCCACUAUGCACAGCCGUAAACUUAGAUAAGAUUUUACAAUAUUAUCCGCCUGGGUACUACGAGCAUUAGCUUAAAACCCAAAGGACUUGGCGGUGCUUUAGAUCCACCUAGAGGAGCCUGUUCUAGAACCGAUAAUCCCCGUUAAACCUCACCCCCUCUGGUUAUUUUCCGCCUAUAUACCGCCGUCGUCAGCCCACCCUGUGAAGGAACUACAGUGAGCUUAAUUGGCAUAGCCCAAAACGCCAGGUCGAGGUGUAGCAUAUGAGGGGGGAAGAAAUGGGCUACAUUUCCUAUCUUAGGAUACUACGAAUUGCCCUAUGAAAUAAGAGCAUGAAGGAGGAUUUAGUAGUAAGUGAAAAAAAGAGUGUUUCACUGAAUCCGGCCCUGAAGCGCGCACACACCGCCCGUCACUCUCCCCAAGCUUACAUAUUAAUAUUUAUAAUAAACUUAAAAAGCAAAGGGGAGACAAGUCGUAACAUGGUAAGUGUACCGGAAGGUGCACUUGGAAAAA
Molecule: non-coding RNA, 947 nt
Filed under: Fundulus lima (killifish)
Lineage: Eukaryota; Metazoa; Chordata; Actinopteri; Cyprinodontiformes; Fundulidae
Description: 12S ribosomal RNA
Rfam family: Bacterial small subunit ribosomal RNA
Source: RNAcentral